AGUGUAGAUUCAGAGUUUGAUCCUGGCUCAGAUUGAACGCUGGCGGCGUGCCUAACACAUGCAAGUCGAUCGGUAACAGGUGUAGCAAUACAUGCUGACGAGAGGCGGACGGGUGAGUAACGCUUGGGAAUCUGCCUAUUAGUGGGGGACAACCCGGGGAAACUCGGGCUAAUACCGCAUACGCUCUACGGAGGAAAGCCGGGGACCGCAAGGCCUGGCGCUAAUAGAUGAGCCCAAGUCGGAUUAGCUAGUUGGUAGAGUAAUGGCCUACCAAGGCGACGAUCCGUAGCUGGUCUGAGAGGACGACCAGCCACACUGGGACUGAGACACGGCCCAG
This 337-nucleotide ribosomal RNA is filed under the name uncultured bacterium. RNAcentral's name for it is "bacterial SSU rRNA". It matches the Rfam family "Bacterial small subunit ribosomal RNA", at positions 1 to 334 of the family's 1533-position model. The record is from RNAcentral.